RNAcentral lists this long non-coding RNA (28466 nucleotides) under Gossypium raimondii (Peruvian cotton). Its description in RNAcentral is "long non-coding RNA (GRAI_LNC000913)". The record is from RNAcentral. Lineage: Eukaryota; Viridiplantae; Streptophyta; Magnoliopsida; Malvales; Malvaceae.
AUUGGUUUUUCAUGGUUUCUUUUUGGGUUUUGAGGAUCUGGGUGUCUUAAUUUAGAUGAAGAAAAAAUGGGUUUUUAAUAGAAAAGGAAAUUGGGAUUAUAGAAGAUGGAUCUGGGUGGAGCUUGGGAAAUUAUGGGUGUUUUUGGUGUGAAAAAUGGGUUCUUUUGAGAUGAUUUGAUGGAACUAGCUCCCAUGGAUCUGAUUCAAGUUUCUCAUUACAAUAUCAAUGAAACCCAGAAAGAAGAAAAAUUAAAAGUUAAACUAAAAAAAAAGGUACAGAAAAAGUAAAGCUUUAAUGUUAUGAAAAUAGCUAUGGAUUGGCUGCCUCUCUGCAAAAUUCUCUGAGAAAACGAAGAAGACAAAAAUUACGAACCCGAAGCGUCCUUGAAGCUUCAGUUAAAAUCAAAGGACCCCCUUGGUGAUGCGAGCUAACUCCUCCAACCACCGCUGCAAGCGAAGAAGACGAAAGACAAUCUGCCACCGCAUGACGCAACGGCUCCGGUGGCUUCUUAAGCGACGAAGAUCUAAGCCUCGACACUCCACUGCCUGCUCCUAACUGAAGCAUUGAACUCCCGGGCUCCGAGCUGGACUGAAAGUUGUAGCCAUCGGACUUAGGUUGCACUCUGAAUCCACGCACAACCGUCUGUCAAACUUAACUCCAAUUUAAAAAAAAAAAAACAAAGAGUUUUUAAGCAAUUAAAAUCUUGUUUUUCCCCCUCAAUUCAAUCGUUCCUACAUUUCAACAGAGAACAAAGAAAGAGAGAAAGAGAGAAAUUUGUGGAAGAUUCAAAAUCUUAUUUAUUCUGAGAGUAAAAAAAAUGAAAAUAGAAGAGGGAAAACUGGGAGGAGGGAAAGUGGGAAAAAAAGAGAUUUUGAAUCUUUUGUGGCGUUUUUUUUAUAGAAACGCCGCAAAACAUUAUUUCAUUUUGAACAAAACGACCCCGUUUUACUCAGUUAAAAAUAUUUUAUUUUGUCUACUUGAACAAAACGACCCCGUUUUACUCAGCUAAAAAUAUUUUAUUUUGUCUGCUAAAAAUUAUUAGUUAAGUGAUUUUAUAAAAUAUUUAUUAUUAUUAUUUUUUAUAAACUUGAUUUUUAUAAAAAAAACAAGUACUUUCAAAAUAAAUAUCGUAUAUUUUAAUAAGAAAACAAAUGAUUAAAUGGUUGUAUUUAAUUAUUAAGUUAGAAUUAUCCAAUGUAAGAUUAGUUAAUCAUAAUUUUAUAUUAUUCUUUUCCAAUCUAAUCUCUAUUUUAUUAGAGAUAUUUCUUCCUAACUAAAAUAUAACUAUAUAUAUUGCUAAAUGUUCGAUGUGAAAUGAUUUUAGUUUUUUUAUUUCAUUUUUAUUUGUUAUAAUUUAGUCCUAUCGAAAAUAGAUAGUUACCUAUCCAUAUCAAUUACUUUUUAUUUAUUUAUUUAUCAAUGUUUUUUUUAAAUCUAAUAUUUAAAUAUAUCAAAUGGUUUAUAUUAAAUAUUUUUAAAUAUAAAAGCAUUAAUUGGUUGAAUAAAAUUUCAUCAUUUAACAAAUCUCAAGUAAACCUUAAAUCCUAAACCAUUUAAUAUAUAUAAAUUCAAAAAACUAGUUAAUCUAAACCCAAAACCCUAACCCGGCCCGAAUCUCUAAACCUUAAAUCACUAACCACAAACCCCUAACCACAAACCUUUAACCCCUAACUACUAACCCCUAAACCUUAUUUAAUAUAUAAAUUAAAAAAUACUAAUUAAUCUAAACCUUAAAUCCCAACCCGAAUACCUAACCCCUAACCCCUAAACCUUAUUUAAUAUAAAUUAAAACACACUAAUUAAUCUAAACCCUAAACCCUAACCUGACAUCGAAUCAAUGAACCCUAAAUCCCUAACUCUUAAUCUCUAACCCUUAAUCCCUAACCCCUAAAUCACAACCCUUAAACCAGAACCCCUAAUCCAUAGUCCCUAAUUCCAUAAUCUAUAAACCUUAAAAUUCUAACUCCUAAACCGGCCUUAAAUCCUAAAUUAACCAUACCUCCUAAACCAUAUACCCUAAAUCAUAUAUAUUAAACCCUAAACUAUAAUGACAAUUACUUAAAUAUUUUAAAAUUAAUACUACCGUAUCUUUUACAAUUAUAUAUGAAAUUAUUUAAUAUAUAAAUUAAAAAUCAAUCAGUCAUGUACCCAAAAAAUUUUAAAAUUAUUUUAAAUAAUAGUAUUUUAAUUUUUCCAUUUUUAACAAAUAUUUUUCUAUGUUUUUUAUUUCAAUUUAUUUAUAAGUGUCAUUAUUUCAAAUUUAUCCAUUUUUAACAAAUUUUCAAUUAAAAAUAAAUUGAAUUUUAAUUAAUAUAAAUAAACAAUUAAAUAGUAAUUAGACAGAUAAAAUGUUUUUGCGGCACUUCUUCAAAAACGCCGCUAAAGCCAAGAGCAUUAGCGGCGCUUUAUCAAAAACGCCGCUAAAGCCCAGAGCAUUAGCGGCACUUUACCAAAAACGCCGCUAAAGCACAGAGCAUUAGCGGCGCUUUUCCAAAAACGCCGCUAAAGCCUCGAAUGGUCUGAAAACGAUGCCGUUGGGCUUAGGUUUUUUGCGGCGUUUUCUCAAAAAACGCCGCUAAUUCUCAUUUUUAGCGGCGCUUUCCCUAAGGCGCCGCUAAUGCUCUAUCUUUAGCAGCGUUUUACGUAAAGCGCCGCUAAUGCUCGAUUUUUAGCGGCGUUUUGUAUCCAAACGCCACUAAAACUGCCGCUAAAAGCCUGUUUUGGUGUAGUGUAACAUAAAAAAAAUAUUUGGCAUAUGCCACAUAUGUGGCCAAUAAUCUUUCAUAUCACAUUGAUAGCAUCAGUUAUCUUUACCCUUUUAAAAGUUAUCUUGAGAACUCUCAUUGUUCUCUUAUUUAUUAUUAUGUUUCCACUUUUAGUGGUCCAUGAUUGUAUCUUUUAUUUUUUUUAUGUUUGCAUUCACUUCGGAGAAUGCAACAAAUCUAGUAGGACAGACUUCCAAACGCCUCCAUUGAUUCUUUAUUUCAUAAUCACCAUCGCAAACAUACGUAGAUUUCAAAUCAGAAUCUAUCUAUUCAUGUUGUCAUGGUUAGUCUUUAAUUAUAAUAAACAUGAUAUAAUAAAUAAGUCAUAAUAAAAUAUACCUGAAGAUUUUUAACAUCAUUGUCACCACCUUGGUUAUUAUUAGGAGCACUAUUACAAGUACUAAAAUAACUAUACUUUCAUAAGAACAUACCACAUAUAAGUUAUAAAAUCUUAUGAUGCUCUAAUAAAUUAUUUGUACUUUAUAAUUUAAUCUAAAAGUUAUUAUACAAUCAUUCAACUAUAACAAAUUAAUGAGUAAUUUAGAUUCUAUUGAAUUUCCCUUUUUCCCUUUAAUCAAAGGCAAAUUGAUUAGUAAUACUCUCUCUCACAAUUUUAAUCAAAUUUCAAGCAUAUUUAAUGACAAUAAUUUAAUCAUCAAAAAAUUUAAUCAUCCAAAUAUCAUGCAUACUAUAAUUUAAUAAAAUAAUCUUAGUUUAAAAGAAACAUUAAAGUAAUAAUAUUUUUUUUGAUAAAAUAAUUUUACCAAAAAUCAAUCAACAAAGGAAAAAAAUAUACCACUUAAGGAUUAUAAAAAAUUUCUUUGUAUAAAAAGGCAUAAAUUGUUUUUAGAGAUUUAUGUGUACCUCGGUGGUUAAAAGCUUUAAUGAUUACCCAUAGUGUGUAAGCCUCAAUUGAAAUAGCAACAACUCUAGAAGGCAAUCGACAAUAGCAAAUAUUGGGAUAUUUUUGUAACUUUGGAGAAAAACAAUUAAAAGAGAAUCGUGUUGAUAACGUGUUAUAAAAUAAAAGAUAGAGAAUAAAGAACAAAGAGAACGAAAGAGCAAAGAGAGAGUGUAUUUUAUUGAUCAAUCGGGAAUAUUGACAAUUCUUCUCCAAAGUAUUUAUUUAUAGGCAUAAGAAGUAUAAAGAAGUAGAGAUAUACUUCUAAUGACUAUUAGAAUUUAAAGUAUAUCAAAAUAAAAUAUUCAUAACAAAAACUUAAUUAACAAGGUGGAUGGUUUACAACUAGCCUCCACCACCGUUUGACAUUUAGAAAGUGGUCUAAUUACUCAAUUGGUCUUUUAAUUAAUUAAUUGAGGUUUAUUUAAUUAAACCUUAAUUAAUUAGGGCUUAAUAGUAAUUAACCCAAAAGUUAAUGGGAUUUAAUGACAUUCACGACGUCUUGGACUUUUGAAAAUGGUCUAUUCGUCAUUUUGAUCCCUUAGCUAUUUAAAAUCUAUAGCGAUUAAAUUUUAUCACUUUUAUAAUUUAGUCCUUUUUUUCUUAAUUAACUAUCAUAGACAUAGGUUCCUGGGUCUUUCAACUUUGGAGGCAAUUUAUUUGUCAGCAUGUUAGUGCACCCUACGGUGAGUGCGACUGUUUCAAAUUCUCCCAAUUGUCUCACGAUCCAUGCGGCCUUAGACAAUUUGUUCAUCCAAACUCGCUUAAGUCAGCCUUUACUCAAGUGAGGAUUCCUUUAGAAGUCCUCCAAGGCACCAAUUUGUAUAGCGGAAGCGAUUUAUGCCAAAAGAAGCAAUAAAAGAACAACAAAAAGAAGGCACACAAGAUGUUUGAGUAAAUGCUCUCAAUAUUCUCUUAUUCACAAAGAAUAAUGAAAUAAUGAAUGGAGUGAGUACAAAUGAGGGGGAGGCUCUCUAUUUAUAGUUGUGCUCUCCCAAAGUUGACGGUCAAGAUACAUUUACAUUGACGGACGAGGUUAACUAUAUCCCUUGAUUUUAGGGAUUUACAAGAUAUGUCAUAUCAAAUCUAAUCUAAUAUUUACAAGAUAUGAUUCUAUCAAUCUUCUAGAUUAGUUACCAACACAGCCUAAGUUGUCAUAUCUUCAUUAUUGGGCCAACCAGGCUUCAAUCUGACAAGCUUCUCUAACUACUUACCGAAUCGGGUCAGUUCUUGCGGGCCAAAUGAUCCCCAUCUACACAAUACACCUCCAUCAAAUACAUUUGGUAUGAUAGUCACGGGCUUUGAACUGCGGCCCAUGACAUUCUCCCCCACCCAUUCUCGCAACGCCCUCGUUGCGACUUCCUAAUGGUACUGGCUUGAUUUGCCUCAGUCUUGUCUCGAUGGCUUAGCUUUUUCCUUCUUUCGAGACUUUUUCCUCGGUUUACGUCACUUCUUAACUCAAAUAGUCCUACUUGUUGCAUUUACUCUAGUCAACUGUUCAACUUGCAUCACUUCUUUUCCCUUGAAGUCUGAUGCACCACCCACCUCUCCCAUAGGUGGAAGCCUUGUCAAUGACUUGGCCAACUCCGAUGCUUCACUCGAAUUCAGCCUCAUUGGUCCCAGCUUCACUAUUUUCAUCGCAACUUUUUCCCCUAAGUUUGAUGACAAACUCACCACUUCCUUGGGUGGAAGCCUUUCCGAUGACUCACCAAGCUCAGACGUUGUCUUUCCUUUUACUACGGCUUGCUUUGGACAAUUCCGUAGCUUAUGUGAACCACGACACAAGAAGCACUUUACUCGCUUCUUUUUCUCCUCUUUGCCCUUUUGGCUUCGACUUUUCCCUUGCUCGAACCAAGCUUCUUGGGCUCCCUGUCUGCUCCAUCGUCCCUUCAAUGAUAGACUUCUUCGGACACUUCCGCAACCUAUACAGACCAUGACAUAAGAAGCACUCCAUUGGCUUCUUCUCACAUUAGGCCUCAUUGGCUUCGAUACCCCUUGCGCUUAAACCAAGUACCAAGGCCUUACCCACCAGCUUCUCCUUAAACGCGGAUUGCUUCGGACAUUUCUUCAACAUGUGUGGACCAGUGCAGAGAAAACAUUUCAACUUGUCCCUUUUCCUAUUGGGUUUCUUCUUUCCAACUCGUGGUUUCCCAUUACCACUAUUGUCGCCAAUGCCAUUGCCAUCAUUAUCUUCCUUGUGAUCCUUUUCAGAUAUGCCCCUUUCCUCGGACUUGGAAGACCCAAGCUUGUCUUUCCCUAGGCCAAGCUUGACCACAGAUUUCGCUAUCGUCAUGGCUUUUGGCAGCUUUUGGACACCUCUUUCGGCUUUGGGACAUCCUCGUAUCUAAGUGCUGCACUUGACACUCCUUCCCUAAAGGCUACUCGACACAAGGCUAGCUUUACCUCGAGCUCCUCUAUUCAUAUGCUCAAAGCCAUUGUCGUGGCCAUUGUUUCCUUCUUCAAAGCCAUCAUCAUGGCCUCAAGAGCAUAGUUUCUCUCCUAUAACUUAUCCCUGUGUGAAUUAAACAACUCGUUUACCUUAUCUAUGGUGGAAUCAAGAGACAUAUUUACAUAGUCUCUAGAUUGCUUCUUCCAGUUGUUUAUGCGAUCCUCGACCCUAUCAAGUGCCUCCUUUACGUCCUCAAUGGUUCCCACGAGUUUACCCACACGUUCUUCUACUAUCGACAGUGUCUCCCUCAAAGACUUUCUAGCCCACAUUUGUUCGAACUCUUCUUUUGACAUCCCAACGGUGCCUUCGAACCAAUAGCUCGGAUACCACUUGUUACAGGGAUAGAUCUUUCAUCUCGUAAUCCGUGCAGCCUUAGGCAAUCUGUUCAUCCAAACUUGCCUAAGUCAACCUUUACUCAAGUGAGAAUUCCUUUAGAAGUCCUCCAAGGCACCAAUUUGUAUAGCGGAAACGAUUUAUGCCAAAAGAAGCAACAAAAGAAUAAUAGAAAGAACGCACACAAGGUGUUCGAGUAAAUGCUCUCAAUAUUCUCUUAUUCACAAGGAAUAAUGAAACAAUGAAUGGAGUGAGUACAAAUGAGGGGGAGGCUCUCUAUUUAUAGUUGAGCUCCCUUAAAAUCGACAGUCAAGAUAUAUUUACAUCGACGGAUGAGAUUAACUAUAUCCCUUAAUUUUAGGGAUUUAUAAGAUAUGCCAUAUCAAAUCUAAUCUAAUCUUUAUAAGAUAUGAUUCUAUCAAUAUUCUAAAAUUAGUUACCAAAAUAGCCUAAGUUGCUAAAUCUUUCUUAUCAAGCCAACCAGGCUUCAAUCUGACAGGCUUCUCCAAAAGUUUACCGAAUCGGACCAGUUUUUGCGGACCAAAUGAUCCCCAUCUACACAAUAGACCUCUAUCGGAUGCAUUUGGUAUGAUGGUCACGAGCUUUGAACUACGGCCUGUGACACUAGCAUGGUCUCUUAAAGAACAAGAAAACAUCUUGAGUUUUAAGGCAUCUUCAAGGACACCUUACUGUCUGAAAGAAUUGUAGACCUCUAAGAAAAUUCGCAAGUGAAAUCUAGGAUCUUCAGUUAGCACACCACCAAACUGACCAAUUGAUUGAAGCAUUUGAAACAUUAUACGUUUCAGCUCAAAGUAAGGAGCUUGAAUUUGAGGCCUGACUAUUCCAGGAUUUAGGUAAUCUAAAAUAGGAACUACAUGCUCUCAAGUUGGCCUAUCACAAUCGUCAAACAUCUAAGCAACCUAAGGAUUACCAUUGCUAGCUCCCGGAUUAAGUAGCUCAUUCAAACCAGGUUGAUUGUUACCACCUUAAUUUAUUUCUCUUUAUCGUCUUCUCCUUUUUUUAUGGAUCUAAGGGAUAGAGCUCUUCAACAUGAAUGCCUCUAUGCAUACAACUAGUAACAGACCUAUUGUAUAAUGAAAUAAAUAAAUUAACGGCUAAUAUAAAAUUUACAGUAACAAAAACUAAAGUUGCCAAUUGUUAAUCCCUGGCAACGGUGCCAAAAACUUGUCGUGUGUGAAUAUAAUGUGCGAAUUGUGCAAGUAUACAUAUUGAAUCAAGUAAUAAAGUAAUGAGUGAGUAUCAUUCCCACGAGGAUUGAAUUAAUAUUCUUUGUCUAAAUUAUCACAAUUGAGUAGAAAAGAUAAAUGAAUUGAAUGAUAUUUUGAGAAAUAACAAUGCAAUUAAUACGCUAAAAGUGAAAAUAAUAAAAUGUACUAUCGUAGAUUGCAUUUGCAAAAAAUUGAAUAAAAGCACUAAGGAUUCUAGCAAAAUUGGAAUAUUGAUUGUAAAGGCUGGAUUACUAAUGAACUAAUAACCCGGGAAAAAUGCCAUGUAAAAAAUAUGUAACCUACUGCUUGAUUGGGUACUAACGUGGUCUACCUCUGUCGAAAGCAAGACCUAAAGCUGCUCACUUCUAAGACACUAUACAUCUAUAGACUAAGAAUUAGCAACCAUGAAUGAAGCACAAUCUUCUAAAUCAUAUAAGGUAACGCUCUCUUAUAUUACCCAGUUUUGGUCCAAGCAACCAAACUCUGUCGAUAUUAAGCUGCUUUUAGAUUUAUCAAGCAUUUAUCAUUGCUCUAAUAAGCAUAUAAACAUAAAUAAACAUUGGGUAAAGUAGUAAAUUGAAUCAUAUUCAUCCAUAAACAUUCAUUAGAGUUAAAACGUCAUCAAAAGUAAUCCUCAUUUGUGCUAAGUUAGCUCAUGACUGGGCUACGCAAAUUUAAGUAUUUUAAUGUCAUCAACAUCCUAAAAUAACAGUUUAAACUAGCAGAUUUAGAAAAAAUUAUAGAUAGAGAAAUUUGGGUUUAGAACACAAAUCCCACAACUUGGCGUCUAGUGCGCGUCUUCACCCAAGCUCCUAAUAGCUCAAAUUACCCUUAUUGUCAUAAAGAAACUCUAUCAAAGCUCCGUAUUUGCAAUCAGUCGUACCUUUCAAUUUUUUUUCUUGGUAGACCUCUCUCCUUUUUCUUUUAUACUUGGGUCCUCCUCUAAGGUAAAAGCCGUCAGCCAAUGAUUAUUUUUUCCCUAAUUUUGAGGUGGAUAUUUUCCAUUAUACGUGCAUGUGGAGGGCCAACUGCUGAAUGCUCUAAUUGAUGACUGGGUAUUUGUCGUUUUCUUCCUCAGCAUUACCAUGGCAAUCUCUCAUAAUGCCUUGGCAAAUCUCCAUCCUUUGUUAUAUUUCUUCCUCAAACUUGUCACCACAAGGCCUUUCCACCAACAAUUCAAAGUAUAGAUGCACUAAAGCAAUCACCAUUCCAAGUUUUUACAUAUAAUGCUCGAUUCACUAAAAAUAAUCAUGCAAUUACCUAAAAUGAAACUAAUUUUACUUAAGUACAAUCAGUUAACUAAUUCUAAAAGUAUAAAUUAUAAAUCUUUUCAAAAUUUAUUAGUACCCCUUUUCUCCUUUCUUAAUUCAGAAGAAACAAGAUAGGGACUUAUCUCUAGAGCUAAAAGGAUUUGCCUACCGCUCCUCUUCUUCCGAAGGUAUUCACAAGUCCACCGUCGUUGAGCUGACGAGUUCUUUCUCUAUAAUGGUUGCAGAGUGGGAACUUAUUAUUUGGUCCAUCGAACAGGCUUGCAAAGAGUUUGAGGUUUGUCAGGAUGCUUCUGAGAGAACUAUCCUUUUGGGAGAAUAGUCUCUCGCCCAUCUCCACCAAUCCUAUGAUGGCAUUGCUUUACAAAAUCACAAACUUACUCAAUCUGUCUCCCCAUCGACAGCCCAAGAGAAAGAGUUAGAAGAAAAAGUCCAUCAUUUGGAGACCCCAGAGAAACAACACAUUGCCAAAAAAGAGAAAAUACAAAAAGAGAGCAAUGCACUCUGGAAAAAUUUAUGGCAGAUACCAAAAAAGGUACUAAGUUACAUUUGCCAAUUUUAUGGUCUAGCUUAAUAAUACCCUUACAAGAAGCUAUGGGUCCCUUCGGUCUAUGCCACAUGAGCUUCAAAUGUCUGCGGCCUCUUGUCAAGACCAACCUUGGCUUCGGCGUCCUAAAUCCCAAAGAGGUUGUAUGGAGAAAAUUCCAAAAGAAAUGGAGGGAGUCUGGUUAACUCUUCUAUGACCAUGAUUCAAACACAUCUAACUCAGAUUCUUCGGAUGGUACUGCCUCAGAGGAUGGAACCUUCGAUGAGGCCUCCAUCUCUUUCGCCCAAGGGAAAACUAAUGUUGAGAAAGAGGAGAACACAUAGGGAACGACUGAUCCGCCAACUUUGGAUAUUUUUAAAUAUUUUUUUUUGAAUUUAUAAUAGUUUUUCUAUAGUAAUAAGAACUCCCACCUCUCUCUUUCAUUCUAUUUUGCUACAAUACAUUUUUCACCAAUCUGACUAUGAUCCGCCAUUCUUAUAGUUAUUCUCGUCACACUAUCUUAUAUCAAUUUUAGGGGGACUAAGCCAGAGCUAUUGCAACAUGUAUACAGAGGUUAUUUCAAAGUUUACUAUGUUUAAAGGAUCAACUAAAUCGUACUCUGAUACCACUCAAUUUGUAACACCUUAUACCUGACCCGAUCGCAGGGUUCAAGUACCAGAUGUUACACUAACCUGAAGUAAUUAACAAAAUUUCAGUUUCCAAUUUAUUUGCACACUUAAAUGACUCAAAUUCUUGAAAAUCUAGUUGUUAAUACAACUUGUACAAAACUAGUGAUAAAUUCCUAAGACUUUAAUUAAAACAAAUAUUUACAACUUUUGAAUUAAGGCUUGAUAACGUAUAUAAUUAACUUAGACCUUGAGGCAAGCUCUCCACAGGUGCCCCUCUAUAUACAUGGACAGCUACUGGGCACCACUUAACUUUGGCUGGGUCUUGCUUGGUCUCUCUUAAUUCAUCCAAGUCACUAUCUAACCUGUAUUCAAGCAGUAAUUUUAUAAGUACAAAAGAACUUAGUGAGAUCCGCAUAUAGAAUUUAAGAAAAAUUAGAGACUUCUGGCUCAAAAUUAAACUCCUUUAAUUUCGUAGGAGAAUUUCUGAACUUAAUUGUCAAGGCUCAUGCCAUACGAAUUCUAUGUUGUUUAUUAGCGGACUAGUCCUUAGUUUGAUCCUGACCAUGUUCACUCUUGGGAAUCACCCCAUUUCCCAUUUCCUAUUAUUCUAUCUCUCUGAUCCUCGUCUUCAUUAUUCUUGGCUGGCAACACUUAGUGACUAGCCAAGUAAUCGCCAUAACUGCUGUCUUUUCUAGAAUACAAUGUCCUCACUAACCUAGAGUGUUAGUGUCCACAACACCAUGUACUUGCUUUGUCAAUCCAUUCAUUAAAGAGGUUUCAUUAAACAUUCAGAUCCUACCUUUUGUAGAUCACCAAGAUCUUUAUUAUUUUUUUCGUGGUCCUAACAGAUCUCUAUUGUCCACUAUUCUCUAACGAGCUCUACUGGUUUUUUAGCCUUGAGCAAGCAUUUCCUGUCAUGAAAACUCCUAUCUUUCUAUAAAAAUUUCAACUAUUUUUUUACAUAUUGAUUUGUGACUGCAUCUUAAACAGCCUAAUCCAUGUUUGCUUAAACUGUAUGAACUCCACAGCUUCCUUGGCGGACUUGUUUUGACGUACAUUUUGUAUACCUUCUUAUAUAAUGAUUCUCUUCCUAUAUUCUACCUCACUAGUUCAAGACGUUUCCUUGGACCCACUCAUUACUGCUUUUAAUGAACUCUCACAUUGACCCAAGGGUCCAUUCCUUAGACACGCUAAGCUCAUUCAUUGCUAUGACUUACCAUACCCGUCACACUAGGAAUUCUACUUUCACCCUUAGUGUCCCUAAUGAAUUGUGGACUUUCCAAUUGUGCUUCCAAUAUUUAACAUCCUGUCAGGCUGACUCCAUUGGUUUCCGUAGUCGAGUUAUAGUCUUACACUUUUUAACCCUAUAUUUAUUAUCCUGACGAACUCCCUAUACAACCAUAUUCUAGAUAUGGUCUUACACAUUAAACCUCUUCUGUGGUGUCACCCCAUGGGACAUUACCACUGUUGCGAUGUCGCCCUAUAAAGCCUACUAACCACCGUCGUGUUGUUGCUCUAUGGAACUUAAUAUCUAUUGGUGCUCAAACCUUGAUGCUCAAACACCGUAGUGUCCCCUUCAAAAGGUCGGGAGCUUCAAACAUCACAGUUUGCACUCAGUAAUAUUAUAUAGCGAUAUCUAAUAGAAAUUCUCGUCCCCUAAGUCCUAACUUUAUCUGUCCCAUCAAUAAUUUCCCCACCAUGCUUCGCCAUUGAAAACAUAAAAUUCAUGCAUUCCAUACACACACUACACCAAUUAUUCAGACAUUGAAAUGUAACUAUCAAACAAACAACAAUCGUUCCUACCACAUUUGCAUACACUUAUUUAUCACUUUCCAUUCAAAAUCAACGUCCUAAGAACAAUACGUAACAAAAAAAGGUAUUUUGAUCUAGAGAUUAGCACGAUAAACCACCCAAAAGGUAGAGUACAGAAACUCACCUAGAUUCAUUUAUCUCCAUUAGCUUAGCUUGUCCAAACGCUAGAGCUUUUUUCGUCUUGGCUGCUAAGUAUGACAACCACUUAUUGGUUAAACUAAAAGUGUUCAACCCUUAAAAUCUAGAAUCCAUCAUUGUACAGAAGCUUUUAAGAAUUCUUACUCUAGCUCUUCCUUUAAUUCACGAGUUCAGAGGGGUAAGAAAGCUUACCAGUUCCUCACUUUCUUUACUACCAAACUUUAAUUCACACAGCUGCUGCAGCAUGCAGAGCUUCUUUCAGCUAAAUUCUCUCCUUCUUUAGAGCGACUGAAGAAGAUGAUACUUUAGAGUGAAAAUUUUGUAAACAAAAUUGAGAAAAUUGUAUCUCCACACACUCCUAUAUAUAUACACCUUUAGCACAAUUUUAACCGAUCGUCACUACCAUUCAUCUUUAAUCAUUUUAUCUCUCGCUUUGGAACCAACCAGUUCCAUCCUAACUGAACUAGGAUUGGGAUCUAACUAACCGAAAUUUGGCUACUAAAAUUUCUAAAUUUCCUGGUGGAGUCCAGAAAUUUACUAAUACUUUCAAUUUAGUCCUAACUUUCCUUAGAUUUUAAUUCAAUAAAGAUACCCGGGUGUUGCAGUGGAAGCCAUGAUAUCACGACGUCGACUUGAGAUUUUGAAUAUUUUGCAAAUUGGUCCUAAUUUUACCUUGAGUUAGCAGAAAAGCUUUCAUAAGCUCGUAUGGGACCUAAAAAUGAUUAUGUAGCAUAAUAGGAAUGUGAAUUAUACUUAAUUAUGUGUAUAAAUAGUUGUGUGAUUUAUAAUUUACUGUAGUUUGCUCCUACAACAAACGUAGCAUCUUGUAGCUUAGACCCUGGGAUCGGGUCGGGUAAAGGGUGUUACACCUCAUUACCUAUAUCAUUGUGAAUACAUGCACUUAAAAUAAUUGUAUACUUAUUACAUAGGGUUACUAGUAAAACAACUCCAAAAACUCCUUUCGAGUUAUGGGCUGGAAGGAAUCCUAGCCUAAGGCACCUACAUGUUUGGGGUUGCUAAACAGAAGCAAUAAUAUAUAAUCCACAAUAAAGAAAAUUAGACUCCCGUAUUGUAAGUGCAUACUUUAUUGAUUAUCUAAAGAAAAUAAAGGAUAUGGGUUCUAUGUACCAAAUCAUAGUCCAAGAAUUGUAGAAACCGGUAAUGCUAGAUUCCUUGAGAAAAGUAAAGUUAGUGGGAGUGUUUCAAAAAAAAAGUUGUGGAUAUAAAAUUAAAUUAUAGUAUAAUUUCCUACAAUUAUAAAUGGUCAUUUAUCUAAAACUACUACAAAUGUUGUUCCAACAAUUAACGAAUACUCUAAUAAUGUUGAACAACAUUUAAAUGAUGAAACACUAAUAGAGGAAACUGACUCACAAAAUUUUGAUGAAAAUGAACCACGAAUAAUGUCAUCAAGAAGAUCUCAAAUAAAGAGAAAAUCAACCAUUCCUAAUGAUUAUGUGGUUUAUUUGCAAAAGUCAGAUUUUGAUAUUGGAAACAAUAAAUAUCCAGUUUCAUUUUCAAAAGCCAUAAAUAGUGACGAGUUUGACAAAUGGCUAAAUGCCAUGAAAGAUGAGAUGAAAUCUAUAGAACAAAACAAACUCUAGGACGUUUUCAAAUUGCCAAAAGGUUCAAAACGAGUUGGUUGUAGAUGGUUUUAAAACCAAAAAUAACUCAAUUGGCAAUAAUGAAUUAUAUAAAGCUAGAUUUAUUGCGAAAGGUUAUAUUCAGAAAGAUGAUAUUGAUUAUAAAGAGACAUUCUCUCUAGUUUCUAGGAAAGGCUCCUUGAGACUUAUUAUGGCGUUAGUGGCUUAUUAUAAUUUAAACCAAAUGGAUGUGAAAACAACCUUUCUGUAUGAAAAUCUUGAGGAAAAAGCUUAUAUGGACCAACUUGAAAGGUUUACAAUUGACGGAAAAUGUCAUAUGGUGUCUAAACUUAAGAAGUCAAUAUAUGGACUUAAACAAGCCUUGCGACAAUGGUACAUUAAGUUUAAUGAUGCCAUAAUUUUUUUUGGUUUUCAAGAAAACCUUGUUGAUCGUUGUAUUUACCAAAAGAUUGAUAGGAGCAAGUUUAUUUUCUUAGUUUUAUAUGUUGACAAUAUUUUGCUCGCUGCAAAUGAUUUUGGUAUAUUGCAUGAGACGAAAGUUUUUCUAUCGAAUAACUUUGAAAUGAAGGAUAUGGGAGAGAUAUCCUAUGUGAUAGGAAUUGAAAUAUUCUGUGAUAGAUCACAAGGAUUGAAAUGUUAAAAGAGUAAAACUUCUUGGAUUUAUUGUGAAAUUGUGAUAAAUCUGGACUGAAUAGGGACUAUAUAGAAAUUGGCUAGCUUGUAUUUUGCUUAAAUGUGGAUAAUUCGUAAGUUUCAGGUUUAGGGACUAAUUGCAUAAAAAGGAAAAUGUUGAAGGUAAUUUUGUAAUUUUAUAUUAAAAGGGUUAUAAUCUUAAUUUUAAUUAUUUGAGAUGUUUGAAUUGAAUAAUUAAAUGAAAAAUUAUUAUUUAGAUCAAGAAACAAAUCAACCAGACUCGAAUUGCGGAAAAGCUAAAGUAAUGGAAUAGUCGUCGGCCUUGUUUCUGCAAUAGUUUUUGUCUAGGUAAGUUUGUAACUUGGUUAAAUUAAUUAGUUGUUCUUUUGGUAAUUUAAUAUCUAUUUAUGUAUGUUUAGAUUGAGUUCAUUGGCUUGAAAUGAAUAAGACCACAGUUGAAAGACACAAUGGCACUAUACCAGAAAUGAAUAAGACCAUAGUUGAAAGACAUUAUAGCAACAUGAUAGAAAUGAAUAAGACCAUAGUUGAAAGACACUAUGGCAUCAUUUCAGGUAAAAUGUAUCGGAUGAUAAAUGUGUCAUAUAAUAUGAAAAUGAAAUGGAUGUUUUGAAUUUCAUAUGUUACUGAUGAAUGUUAAAUGAUAUGGUGUGAUUACAAGUUUUAAAUGUAUAUGAACUCAUUAAAUUGUGAGAUUUGUGGUGUGUAUAGGAAUUUAAUGAAUUCACGAGCUAUUAAAUGAAUUUUAUACAUGAAUUUUUAGUUAAAUUCUAUUUGGUAAGUUUACGUUUAUGAUUUAUACGAGCUUACUAAGUACUAGUUACUUAUAUUAGUUGUUUUCUUUUUCUAUAGAUUAUCGAAAAUCUUGAUCGGUUGGAAUCAAGUCAAAGCACACAUACUAUCCACCCUCCAUCUUGGUAGAAGUUUUGGUCACUUUUGAGUUUGUUAUAAAUGGCAUAUGCUAGGAGCUUUUGGGUCAUUUUGCUAUAAUGAUAUUGUUUAACUUUGGUUAAACAUACUUAUGUAUAUAUCUUUGUUUUGGUUUGUACAUAUAUUUUUUUAUUAGUGUCUUUAGUUGUGUGGUUAUUGCUUCCUGAAAGUGGUUGAAAUAUGGUAAAUCUUGUGUAAAUAGAAGGGAUGUAAUGGCAUGUUUGAUAUGUGUACAAAGUAAGAUUUGUGACCUUUGAAUGUGCUUUUAGUUUGGUAUUUAAAAUGUGGUGCCAAUGAGGGCACAUUGGUUAGGCACUUGGUUGAAUAUUUUGGUAUGUUUUAAACUUGUUUGAAUGUGUUUUAAAGGCAUGUUAAUGGUUGAUUUUGGUUUGUCUUGGCACCUAAAGAAUUGAUAUAGUUUUGCCUUGUUUUGGAAGCUAUUUUAGCUACACAUGGCCUGGGACACGGGCUGUCACACGACCAUGUGCCACACACGGUCACACCACACGGCCGUGUGGACUAUUAAAUUUUGGUGCAAGUUUGACCCACACAGUCAUAGAUUGUUACAAGACCAUGUAACUCUAUUUCGAAUCACAAACAAUCUAGCACACGAUCUACGACACAGUCGUGUGACUCUAUUUCGAUUUGCACAUGGGCGGGCACACGGUCUGUGACACGACCGUGUGACCCUAUUUUCAAACUAUUCACGAUUUGGUCACAUAACCAUGUCUUUGAGCCACACGGCCUAGGCUAUGUCACAUAGCCUGGCCAUACGUCCAUGUGACCAUUAUUUUCAAGUUUUUCUACAUUUUUCUAUUUUGUUUCAAAUAAGUCUAUUCCUGAAUUGAUUUUUAGGCUUUGUAAGCUCAAUAUAAGGCAUGUAAUCGUAUAUAUACUAUGAAUUAUGAUUGGUUUUGAAUAUUUAGUAUUUAAUUAAAUAAUUGAAUGGUUUUCUACUGUCAUUUGAUUCGAUAUGUGCCGUAAUACUCCGUAACCAUAAUCCAGCGAUCGAAACAAGUUAGGGGUGUUACAGAAAGUUUAUGAUAUUGUGACACUCUAAGCUAAAUUAUGGUGUUUCUAAAAUAAAAUGGAUGUAUUUCUUGUUUAUUAUGAUUAUGUGCACAUAAAUUUUAAAAUAGGAAAAUAUUUAUAGUUAUUUACAGACUUAUUGUAUUGAGUUGUAAUAUUGUAGUUUACGGAAAGAAGUAUUUAAGUUAUAUACAACUACCGUAACUCGCAUUUUCAAUUCACUUUAAUCUGGUAGAUAUGAUGAGUGUUAUUUUCAUGUGUGCUCAAAGUUUAUUCUAUUAAAGAUAUGUUUUACCUCAUUAGGACAAGUGGAAGAAUAUAAAAUUUUUUAGUCCAUUAUUGUGGACCCAAUUAAGUCUAAAAUUAUGUGACUCAAUUUAAAGGGGAUAAGAGUUUUACUUUUAAUACAAGUUUAAUAUUAUUCAUUCAUUCAGUUACUUGAUAGACAUGCUAGAUUAAAAGUUGAUCAUUAUAAAGGGAUCCUUCCUCUACCUAUUAGGGUUAUACACACAAAUACACAUAAAAAUUAUAGUUUCCAUCACUCAGAAUUUGUGUAAUUAAGGGAAAAUGUUAAGAGAGAGAAAUCAAUUUAUCGAGUGUCCUUUGGCCAACUCCAAUUCUGCAUCAGGUAUUUCUUGAACUUGUAAAAUCAUAUUAUUCUGAAUAUACUAAAAUCAAUAUUUAUGCAGUAUUAAGGAUUUGAUUAGCAUAAUCUUAAGAUCAAAAGAUUUUUUUCAUAAAAUUUGACCUAAUUAUUCCAGAGCAACUAGAAAGAGAUUUUUAACCAGAAAUAAUUCAGCUCAGAUGUAAGAUAUCUAUGCAGAAGUUUUCGCAACUUAAUCAUGUAUGAUAAAAUCAUCAAAGAUUUGAUCUUUUCAAACUUUGCCUGUAACUCACUAUAGGCCCAGGAAACAAAGAGAAUGUAUGUACGAACAAGAUAUCCAACAAGAAGAAGAAGGAAACCAAUUAAAUAGAGAAACCUUCUAAACAUUUGGCGAUCUUAGAUGUGUCGAUAUCAAUGGUGACUCGUUAUUUUGAUGAAUCAUUUUUUCAGACAAAAGAAAAUUAUAUAAACACUUACUUGAAAUCUCACUUAUCAAAUUCCUUUGUGGAAGAUGCAUUUUUUUCUAAAGAAUUGGCUAUAAUAUAUUUGAUCCAUGCAUGAUAUCAUGAAAAAUAGAUACAAAUUUUUUACUGCUACUUAGUAUCUACAAGUUUGAAAAAAGUAUCUAAAAAUAUCUGAUUAAUAAAUAGUAAAACAUGAUAUUUGCCUAUCAUCUGAAAGUAAUGCAUUUACUGAUAUUAUUUUGGAUGAUUAAAAUAAAAUUAAGUGAAGAGGCCGAACAAAAUUUCUUCCCAAGUUGAUACUCAAAAAGAUAUAGAAAAGAUUUAACAUGACAGGAGCAAAAAAAUUUAAAAAUAUAUCCAUGGAUAAACAGUAAUAGUCCCGUAACAAAUACAAUAUAUCUUUUAAACACGAUUUAAAACCGAAGCCAAGUGAAGCUAUCUGAGUGAGAGUGAGAGUGAGAGUGAGAGUGAGAAUUUGUACAUUUAUUCCUUUUUCCCUUCAGCAGCAUAGAGUGCUUUGAUAUCUUCAACAUCAUCAAAGCUGCCAAGAAAUAUUGGAGAUCUCUCAUGUAUCUUUGUUGGCACCAAGUCAAGUGCCUGCAAGCAAGAACAUAAUCAAGUAACUAUGAGCACAAAAACAUCAUCUCAUACAAUCGUUGAAAAUGUUUUAGUUUAAAUACCCGUUGUUUUCCGGUGAAGGCCUGACCUCCGGCUUGUUCCAUCAGGAACGACAUUGGAAAGACCUCGUACAGAACACUGUUUCACACACAUUGCUCAAAUUUAGUAAUGAGUCCGCAAGUAAAAUAAUAAUAAUAAUAAUAAUAAUAAUAAUAAUAAUAAUAAUAAUAAUAGUGCUAUAUCCGUAAUUGCAUUUAAUAUACCGUAGUUUUCCACUGGGGCUCUUCUUAUCUGCAGGGUACAAAAAGAUACCCCCGUAGAGUAAUGUACGAUGGACAUCAGCUACCAUGCUGUUUCAUCACAAAACCAGAGUCCAUGUUAAAGAAACAAAUCUAGGACUAAUACCAAACAUACAUAUGUAGAUGUGAGAAUUAAUAUAGUCACUGUUGAUGAAUACUUGCCCAAAAACAAUGCACUAUCCUAGUAACCUAAUGAAAAACAUACAAGUGCUCCGAAAAAGAGAGUAAUUCAAUUACAGGUUCAUAAGGUCAGAAUUGUUCAAACUUCAAAGUAUUCAAUGAUAACCGGAAAUAAAACAGGCAGUAAGGAUAGAAUCCGUGAUACCUUCCAAUGUAUCUCAGAGACUUUGAAGAAGAACCAUCCUUGGGAAACUUGCACUUUUCCACAUACCUGAAGUUAAAAAGAAAAAGAAACUGAGACAACUGCAGAGAAAAAUAAGACAUUUCUGAACUGAAUUAAGACAUACUUGGCCGUUGGACCAUCCCAGUUCUUAGCAUUUCCUUCAUUAACUGAAUAGAUCUUCCCUUUCUUUGGAAUCUUUGAAAAAGACAUGAUAAAUCAAAGCUUGUAAGUUGUCUCAAACAAAUCAGAGUCGUUAUACAGAGACAAAAUCCGGACCUUAUAAAGUAACACAACUAAAAAUGGAACAUAUUAACCAUUUUGAUCAUGUUUUCUGUAAAUCAUGAAUGGUUUAAGAAACUACAGAAUUUCUUGUAAUUAUAAUUUAUAAUUUCGUAAACCAGAAGCAAACAAAGCUAGAGUCGUCAUAUUCAGUCCUCAGGUGAAAGAAGCAAAUCGAGUAAAUAGCUAAUCACGUGAUUAUUCCAAUAUUUACAUAAUGAUUAUACCUUUAUACCUGGGUGAGUUAGUAUGAACUCUCCAAGAGAUGGAUCAAGGGUGAAUCCGUUAACUCCUUCUCCGGUGCUCAAAACAAGCUGAAAAAUCAUUAUUACAAGUGCAAGGCAUAGUACAUAAGCAAUCAAUCACAUUAUAAUUUGAAAUAGGUCAACAAAUAUGCAAAUAGAAAUGAAAUUCCUUUUUAACAGAAAUGUAAUUUUAUCAUUACCCCAGUUCCCAACUCUCUUUGCAUGAGAAAAGAAAGUAAAAAGUAAUGAAAAAGGAAAAGAAUUAAAAGGGACAAACUAAAUGAAAGGGAAAUUUUAAUUAUCCCCAAAGAAAAACAAAGAGAAAACAUAAGUUCAUAGCAAAAGCUAGACAUAUAUAAACAAGUAAACAUUUUACCGUGCAAGAGCUUCCAUACAUGCAAUAGCCAGCUGCCAGCAUUUGCUUACCAGGUUGCAGUACAUCAUCUAGAGUUGGUUCAUGGUUAUCUUUCAUCAUGUAAAUCCCAAAAAUCUAGAUGAAAGAGAACACAUUAAGUUGACCACUGCAAUAUCAAGUUAUCUUAGAACAAUAAUUAUCCCCAUGAAAACAAAGUAUGGCAUUGCAUUUCUGGGUUUGGGAUGAGGAGCCAUACUGUUCCAAUGGAAACUCCACAGUCAAUGUUGGAGGAACCAUCUAGAGGAUCAAAAACAACACAGUACCUGCGUUACUUAAGAUAAAUUCAAAUCAAAUAUACACGAGGAAGAAUCUUAUAUAGACACAUUUAAUACAUCUAAAUAUAAUGGAAGUAACAUAAUGAAGAACAACUAAAAGCACCUCCCACGCUUUGAGGGAUCUACAAAAGUCGCCUCUUCAUCUUCUUCUGAGACAAGGAUGCACUGGUAUAACAUACAAAUAUGUUAAGAGAAAAUCAUAACAUCUCCAACGCUUACUAAAAAGUCAUCCAACUACUCACUGUUCUGCCACUGCUUACUAAAGCCUUGACAAAGACUUCAUUUGAAAGCACAUCCAAUUUCUUUUGUUCUUCACCCUUUAGUCAUAAUAGAUAACGUACUUAGUAUGAAAUAUUAAUACCAUAAAAGAGAAGCAAAUUCCAUAUCUGGCAUUUGGCAACUACUUGCCUGAACAUUAGUCUCCCCAGCGAGUCCGAUGAGUUUGGCUAGACCAGCCUGCACCAGUAAACGGCAAAUACAUUAAAAUCACCAAUAAGAAAACGACCGAUAAUAAAAUAAAUUUAUAGUUGAGACUGAAAAUAGAGACUAACUAUCCCAAUAGCAUAAUCUGAUAGAAAAAAUAUGACCCAACUUUUACUUGUUUAAACAGAACAUGACCCAGAGCUUACUUGGGAAAAGAAAUCAAAGGAGAAAAGGUUCAAAGAAAACCACAUUAAGAAGAAUAUAUAAAAGAGACCUUGUUAACAGCAGAGCAAACAAACUUGCAACCAAGAACGAUGUGAUUAAGCAAGAUGGUGAAAUCCCCACGAGACUCAGGAUGCUUGGAUUGCUCGUUCAACACGAAACGUGUUAUUGUCAUCAAAUCAGUCCUAUGAGCAUCUGCUGCAUGAUCCAUCUCUCUAAACCAAAAAACAAAAACAAAGAGCCAAAUAUUGAACGAAAGAAAAAAAGUGACCCAAUAAAGCAGCAAGAAAAAUAAUUUAUAUUGUUAUAUUAAUAUACAUAAGAAAAUAGAGUGCUGUUCUCGAGGUGCAGAGGAUAAAGAUUGUUUGAGGAGGGUAGUGGCCCGUGGGUGAUUGGUGGAGGGAGGGUUUAUCUGUUGGAAAUGGAAGUUUCGGGAGACACGUGGAGGGAUGAGAGGAGGGUAGCGAGGAGCGGUCGUCACUGAAGAUAAGGAGUCAAGGGUUUUCGUUUCGUUGUCUUUUUCUUACAGGAUUUGACGGUUAUCUGGUUUUUUCCUCGUGUUUUAUGUGAGGCGGACGAGGUAGCACAAGCGCUAGUGCACUAGGAUAUGCAUGAAACUUCAUUUUAUCUUAGAUUUUGUCAUUCGGCGAAGCCGAGAUUUAAACCACCUAUUAUAGGAUAAUAUUUUAUGGAUAUAUAAGUUUUAUAUACACUUAAGACGUCUUAUCAUUAAAAAAAUUAUUACAAUAUUUGAAGACUGGUGUAAGUUUAGUUACUUAUAAUUACAAAUUUUAAGGUAAAUUAGAGAAUUAGUCACCAAUUAUUAACGAAUUUUUAUUUUAGUCACCCAACUAUGAAAAUUUUCAAUUUAGUCACUAACACUUUAAAUCAUUUUUAUUUUGGUCAAUCACGUUUUAGAUCGUUUCUAUUUUGGUCACUCUUCGUUAAAUGGUUAACAUAAGUGAUGAUAUGGACUUCUUUUAACUGGUAUAAUAACACAUUUAAUCCCUAAUAUUUACACAUUCUAUCAAUUUGAUCCUCAAACAUAUAUAAUUAAAUAUAAAUAUGAUUAUAUUUAAACACAUAUAAUAAAAUCUUGAUAAACUUAAAUGUAAAUUUGUGAUUUUGACAAACCCAAAGACUAGAACACCUAAAAACUCAUUAAAUUUGUGAUUUUUAUAAACUUCAUUCAUGAUCGUGCUAAUAUCAUUUUCAAUUGAGAGACCCAAAUUUUUCUAUGAAACCUAACAAAUAAUUUAUAAAUAAAAAGAAAAAUGAAAAAACUUCCUAUAAGCCUUUUUCGAAUCAUCAUCUUUUACAUUCUUGUUAAUUUGAAUAAUUGAGCAAUAAUUUGCACCCAUCUCUACAUAUAAAAUUUGUUGUAAAAUUAAUCUUCAUCUAAUUUGUUUGCAAUUUAUUUAGAAAAAAGAUGUACAUUUUAUGGGUUUUUUACUUUUCUAAUUUGAAUUUUAGAUUUUUUUUGUAAUAUUUUUAAUUUUUUAGAUACAUAUAUUUUUAUAAUUUAUAUUUAAAAAAAUUAUAUAAUCUUUUAUGUAAUUACUUCUAAAAUUUUAAAUAUUUUAUAAAAAAAUAGAUGAUGACAUCAUCAAUGUCACGUAUCGCAACCAAAGAGAGCUAUGUGUCCUAUAUUUAACACUAUUAUAAAAAAGUACCAAAACUCUUGACAGAAUGAAAAUUCGGAUACCAACAUGGGACAAAAAAACAUAAGUACCAACUUGGGAGUAGGUGUCAAGUUCGGGGGGGGGGGGCGCUAAAUACAUAUUUGAGCAUUAUAAUUGUAAUUAAAUAUUGUAAUGACUCGAUUUUAGCCUGUGCCGAAAAAUUGAGUCAAUUUCGUAAAUCGAGUCAGUGAAAAUAUGAAUAGAAGGAUUUAAGAAGUUAGCAUGAAAAUAUAUUAAUAAAUGUUUAAUAAAUUAAAUACAGAAAAAAAUUAAUUAUAGUGUAGGGACUAAAUCGUAAAAGUUUAAUCACUAUUGAAUUUAAAAUUGGAAAAUGCAUAAGGACCCAAUUAAAAAUUAUGCAAAGGGCUUAAUAGUUAAUUAACCAUUAAAGUUUGUGAAUUAGUGGAUGAAAACAGUCUUUCUCAUCUAUUUCUAUUUACUUAGUUUAAACUAGAUAGAGAUUGUUAACCAGAAGUUAAUUAAAGUAAUUAAUUACCACUAUUUAUAUAUAUAGUUAGUUAGUUAGCGGGUGAGAGAAAACAAAAAAAUAAUGUCAUCUCCUACCUCUCAAACCGAAUAGAAAAGAGAAAAGAAGAUUAAGCUUCCUUCUUCAAAUUACGGUCCCAAUUAACUAAGGUAACCAAGUUAUUUUCACGAGAUUUUUAUAGAUGUUUUAUUAACUAAAUUUGAUCUAACAUACCCAAGCUUUAGGUUACUAAAUUGUUCAGUUUUGAAAAAAAAAUUCGGUUCGAAAACAAUUUUCUUGCACAAUAAAAAAUAAAAAUUUUAAAAACCGACCCGAUUUGUAAUAUUUAUAGCAAUAAAUCUUGGACUAAAUUCGUACAUGUAUUUUCGGAUAGGCGGAUCCUAAUCGUUCCUAACUUUUGACCAAACGAUCUUCUCCACUAUUCUCGUACCACAAACUACUUCGAGUGUGAGCUCGAACAAAUCAAAUCAAUCACAGAACCAAAAAUAUUUUCUUUACGUUGAGUGGGAAAAUAAAUCUCUCUUAAAUAGGAAAUAUUAUUUUGAUAGAAAAAAUCCAACUCCCUAUUAUUUAGGGAGAGGGCCAACAACCCUAGGUGGGAAUACUAAGGUUUGUCAUCCUAUAUAUUCCAUUUUAGGGGAGUUGAGCCUCUCCUGUACUAGGUCUAAUUAUAUGUGAUUCCUUGACUUUAACCUAGCACUUUAUAAUUUUUUCCAACCCACCUAAAUUAAAUAUAUUUAAUCAAUUAAUUUAUAUAAAUUAAUUUCUCAAUUAAAUAAUAUUCUCAACCCAAUUCUAAUUCCGUUAAAAUCAAGACAAAUUUACCGUAAAAGAAUUUGUGAGAAAAUAUAUUUAAAUUUUCUACAUUCAAAUGGAUUCACAAUGACUAGUUAACUUAAAUAACAAUAAGCACAUACUCAUCAUACAACAUAAUCUAUUUUAUUCACAUGAUCAUGGCAGUGCAAUUUUAGUAAAACAAUUGUAUGAAUUUAUAUAAAACAUCUUACCCAUCACCGUUACACUCCAAAAAGAGUUCCCAGGACUCAUCCAUCCAAACACUCUAAUAUGUGGACAAAGCCACCAAUAUUCGCAAACAAGCUGCCAUAUAGGUUGUGGAUAAAUCACCAUGUAGGUUGUAAACAAUGCUACCAAUAUUUGUAGACAAGCUGCGAUGUAGGUUGUGGACGAAGUCAUCAUGUAGGUUGUGGAUGAAGCCACAAAUUCUUCCUCCUUACAAUGUCCCACCCUAUGCAUGUGAUAUGGUUAUAAUGAACAUAUGUAAAGGUAUUUUCAUUUCAAGAUAUCAUUUGUCACAUUGGGUAUGUUGAAACAUGCAACUUGGAUAAUAUCAUGUAGGGCAUGUUUAACAUGUGAAUCGAAUUUACAUCAUAAAAAAUACUAUAUGCAUGCUUAAAAUACGAAUCAUAUCUCAAUUCCAAUAUCGGUGACAUGAUUUAUAUAUCAUGCCUAUCAUAGAAUGUCAACAUAUCACACAUCAUGAGAAAUGGGAAUGUACACAUAAUUUCACUACAUUCAUUAAAUCACAUCAAUUAUCACAUACGAUCAUAAAACAGUUAGUUCGAGGUACUUACUUGAGUAUCACCCUUUUUAUAGAUUUAGCAUCCCUAUUUGAAUACAUAGCGUGUUCUCAAUAUUUCAUAUUAUGGAGAUUUUUAACAAGGUUUAACUUUUAAAUAAAUAUAUAUUAUUUGACAAUAAAUCUCAUAUGUAAUUUUUCUAAUAAGUUAAACCCACACCUGAUAGUAGAUCCGAUGCGAUACACCACUCUAAAGAACGUCCACACUCCAAUCUUAACCAAUGGAAUAUCGAUAUGUUAUCAAAGUGAUUUUCUAUUAAAUCGUCUUUUUAAACAUAUUAUGAAAUUACUCACUUAAACUAAAUUGUCCAUCUCGAACUUACUCUCAUAAAUAAUUCGUAACGAUGAUUUAUAUUCUGAAAUUAGGAGCUUUCUGGAAUGGUAUCAAUCGACCCUUCAUCAAUAGUAGAAUACGAUGUGUUAAUACACGAAGGAAAUACACUAUAAUCCCUUGUAGACAUUCGACCUAAAGGAAAAAGUAGGGAAGAAAUAGUGGUUUUCAUCCCACUACAAUACUUACUCUAACUCGAAAUCUGAAGGGAUGUUGGACCACUGGGUCUUGAGUUGGAGAGGAAAUCGAGUCUAGAGAAAAAUCAUCAUUCAAGAAAGAGAUUAGACUAGAAUGUGAUAUGAAAAUAAUUUAAAAUUAAUGAAAAUAGGAGAAAUAUCAUUUUUUUCACUAAAAGGAAUGGUAGAUACUAGAAAAUGGUGAAGAAAAGAAAUGAAUCACCAAAGCCGGUGGAGGCAUGGCGGCGACGGCAACAAUCUGGCGAAAAUUUGACAGAGGAGGAGGGAAGAAGGGUGUUGCGGCACUAGAAGGAAGAAGGAGAAAAUAAAAAGGAAAAAAAUAGAAAAGUGGAGAGAAAGAUGAAAACUUUUUUCGAUGGUGGUGUAAGGUGGUUGCCACGGUGGUGAGUGGUGGUGCAAUGGGCAUCGUUGGAGCAAAAUGGAUGGGAUGAACGACAAUAAAGAGAAGGUCUGAUGGUGGUUCAAUUUGCAAUGAGUGGUGGAAGAGAAGAGAAGAACUAAAAGUAAAUAUGGUGGAAGGGUGGCCAAAACAAAUAAAAAUUGAAAGAAAAUAAGGAGGUAAGGAGAGGGACGACAAUGUGGAGGGGAGAGGGGAUAUAGGAGUAAGGAAAAAUGAAUCAAAAGGUGAAAAGUACUUGUCUAGGCACAAUGAAUUGGUUCACAUGGCAAGGAUGAAGGAAAGACAAGUUGAGGGGACAAAUGAGCAAAAAAGGGAUCACGUUUGUAAACUUGGCAAAAAAGGAAAGAAAUCCUCUUAUUGUGUGGUAACUUGUAUGGACGACAACAGGGGGUUGGCACAUGCUAAAAUUGUCAAAAAAAAUUAAAUAAAAAAAUUGCAAAAUGUGUAAACUUGAACCUAAGACCCUUAAGAUAUUAUUAAAGCUCUUAACCACUAGGCCAUUUAAUUCCUUGCUAUAAAAAUUAUUUUAAAAACAUGGUGUGACUUUUACUAAGGUUUGAAGUAAAUUUGCACCAAAUAUAUAAUAAUGAGAGGGAAGGGAUUCGAACUCAGAUAAUUAAGAACAACUUCACCACUACUAAAUCACUAUUUUUGAUACUUAUCUAUUGAUAAAUGUGCCAAGUUCAUCUAAAAAAAACUUAGGCUGUGAUGACCACUCUCGGUUCAUUAACCCAAUUUUUACUAACCUGGUUUUUGGGAUUUGACACCCCCAUUGUCAUGCAUAACAAAAAAAUCAUUAGAAGUUUUACAACAGAAAAUAUCCUCUAGUGUGGUCCUUGGUGAUUCCUUUACUUCUUCAAUGAUCCUAAGAAGGAAAGAUAACGAAGUAAGUUCAUAGAACUUAGCGAGUUCCAAAGUAGACACUAAAAUAACUAUACAUAAGAUGAACAAAUGAACCUUCCCAACUCAGUGAAACACUUAGUUCGCCCAUUGGCAAAUAUUAUACACAAGCAGACUUUAUACAAUUCGUCCAUUGGUGAAUAUUGAACUUAUCAUAUUAUGUUCUUCAAAAAAGUUAAACAAGUUUUUAAAAUACUAAAUCAGGAAAUCUAGAAUCUGAAAGUUUCCUCCCUUUUUCCUCCCCUUUUUCCUUCUAAACUGAUCCUAGAGCAUGAGAGCCUAAAACCCCUAUAAAUAGUUGUGAUAAUAGCUUAAGUUUCAUUGAUAUUUACCAGGUAUCAAACGUCGAUGGAGUUUUUUGAAUACAGUGAACCCAAACCUUCAAGCUAGCCUUAGUUCUAAAGCUUUCUUGGGUGUUGCAUAGGGAAAUUAGAGAGAAAAUAAAGUUUACGAAAGAAAGAACAAAGCUUGGUCUUAUAUCAAUACGCACUAAAGGAAAACUUAAUGGGCAAGAUUAUUCUCCCUACUACCCAUCUUUCGACAAUCGUGACUAAUAUAUUUUUCUCUCUUCUUAAAUGUAUGCCCAUAUCUGGUCUCAUUCUAACUAACCUUCUCCAGGUCAACUAUAUAGUUCAACCAAAAUGAUAAACAAUACUAAGAAAUAAGUACUACCGUCUAUAAGCUGGGGUGGCUAACACUCUGUAAAGGAGCUUCACCAAUCACCAAGCUUACCUUCACAUGGACUUCGCCUGAGAGCAUAAUCAUAGUCUUCAAGCACUUAACAAGUUCAUAACAUUUUAUUUGUUUAGAAUUUAUUCUAUAAGCCUAUCUCCAUAAACAGUACUCAAAUGCCCUAGACUACGCUAGGCGAAAUUUACAACUCUCCCUCACUUAGCAAAUUUUGUCUCUAAAAUUCAUACCUGAAUGUAAUUGUGGAUACUGUCCUCUCAUCACGCUCUCCCUUUCCCAAGUGGCUUCUUCAAUGUUGUUAUUUCUCCAUAGUACUUUUACUAAAGGAAUUCUUUUAUUCCUCAACUCUUUAACCUCUUUAGCCAAAUUACGGAUCGACUUUUCCUUGUAAGAUAGAAUUAGCUCCAUUUUAAGCUCUUAAAUUUGUACUAUGUGCUUAAGGUUGGAUCUAUACCUACACAGCAUCGAUACGUGGAACACAUCAUGAAUCUUUGAUAACUCAAGAGGCAAUGCCAACCUAUAUGCCAUUGGCCAAACCUUGUCCAAAAUCUCAUAUGGUCCUAUAAAUUUGGGGCUUAGCUUCCCUUUUUGACCGAAAUGUAUAAUCCUCUUCUAAGGGGAGACCUUUAGGAAUACCUUAUCUCCUACCUCAAAGGAUAUUUCUUUCAUCGUUAAGUCGGUAUAGGACUUUUGCUGAUCCUGAGUAGCUUUCAAGUGAUAACGAAUGAUCACAAUUUUUUCUUUUGUUUUGGGUACUAUGUUUGGUCCCACAAUUUUUCUUUCGUUUAGCUCUGUCCAGUAAGCAAGCGUUCUACACCUUCCACCAUAUAGAGCUUCAAAGGGAGACACUUUUAAACUAGCAUUGUAGCUAUUGUUGUAGGCGAAUUCCAUCAGGGGAACAUACUUUUCCCAGUUUAUCUCGAAAUUGAUCACACAACAGUGUAUCGUGUUUUCUACUACUUGAAUCACUUUUUUAUAUUGUUCAUUUGUCUGAGGAUGGAAUGUAAUGCUAAAUCUCAGUUUGGUUCCUAGUGAUUUUUGUAAUUGUUGCCAAAAUCUCGAAGUAAGCCUCAGAUCUCUAUUAGACACAAUAGACUAUGGCACUCCUUGUAAGCGUACCACUUUAGUGAUAUAUAAUUCAGUCAAUUUUUCCAAAGAAUAUGUCAUAUUCACAGGCAGGAAAUGUGUUAGCUUUGUGAGCCGAUCUAUUACCACCCAAAGAGAAUUCUUCUUGGAGGGACUAAGGGGUAAUCUAAAAACAAAGUCCAUAGUGAUCCUAUCCCAUUUCCACUUAGGGAUUUUCAAAGGGUACAACUUACCCGAAGGAACUUGAUGCUUCACCUUUACUCUUUGGCAUGUCAGACAUGUGGAAACAUACUUUGAGAUUUCCUUCUUCAUACCAAAUCAUCAGUAAGAGUCUCUCAAAUCUCUAUACAUUUUGGCGCCACCAGGGUAAAGCAAAAAAGGCCAUUGGUAAGCUUCCCUCAAUAAUUCCUUUCUCAAAUCAUUUCCCACCGGUACAAAUACUCAGUUCAUAAAUCUGAGUUCACCAUUCUUACCCAUACUAAAGUGCAUUGCUUUGCCUGACAACAUCUUUUUCUUGUAUCUUUCACACUGGACAUUCUUUCUUUGUCCCUUUAGAAUUUCCGAGAGAUGGGUUGGCUUUACUACCAACUUUGCCAUUAAUGCUUCAUUAUCAGCCAUUGUCACUUUAACUCGUAGGGACAGAAAAA